GGAUGCGAUCAUACCAGCACUAAAGCACCGGAUCCCAUCAGAACUCCGAAGUUAAGCGUGCUUGGGCGAGUGUAGUACUAGGAUGGGUGACCUCCUGGGAAGUCCUCGUGUUGCAUUCC
RNAcentral lists this ribosomal RNA (119 nucleotides) under Triticum aestivum (bread wheat). RNAcentral also lists the same sequence under 1 other name. Lineage: Eukaryota; Viridiplantae; Streptophyta; Magnoliopsida; Poales; Poaceae. The record is from RNAcentral.